AGCAGCCGCGGUAAUUCCAGCUCCAAUAGCGUAUAUUAAAGUUGUUGCAGUUAAAAAGCUCGUAGUUGAAUUUCGAGAUCAAUAUGUUGGUCGUGCCUCGGUACGUACUUGCAUCAUUGAUUUCUCCCUUCUGAUGAACCAUGAUGCCAUUAAUUUGGUGUCUUGGGGAAUCAGGACUGUUACUUUAGAAAAAAUUAGAGUGUUUAAAGCAGGCUCACGCUUGAAUACAUUAGCAUGGAAUAAUGAAAUAGGACGUUUGAUUCUAUUUUGUUGGUUUCUAGGAUCGACGUAAUGAUUAAUAGGAUAGUUGGGGGCAUUAGUAUUCAAUUGUCAGAGGUGAAAUUCUUGGAUUUAUUGAAGACUAAACUACUGCGAAAGCAUUUGCCAAGGAUGUUUUCAUUAAUCAAGAACGAAAGUUAGGGGAUCGAAGACGAAUCAAGAUACCGUCGUAGUCUUAAACCAUAAACUAUGCCGACGUAGGAUCGGAUGAUUGUUUAAUUUUUAAUGUA
RNAcentral lists this ribosomal RNA (509 nucleotides) under uncultured Glomus. Its description in RNAcentral is "SSU rRNA". It matches the Rfam family "Eukaryotic small subunit ribosomal RNA", at positions 569 to 1078 of the family's 1831-position model. The record is from RNAcentral. Lineage: Eukaryota; Fungi; Glomeromycota; Glomeromycetes; Glomerales; Glomeraceae.